GGAGAUUUAGCUUAGCGGCAUAAGCGCCUGCCUUGCAAGUAGGCAGUCAUGAGUUCAAUCCCUA
This 64-nucleotide transfer RNA is filed under the name Cavia porcellus (domestic guinea pig). It matches the Rfam family "tRNA", at positions 1 to 62 of the family's 71-position model. From Rfam's summary of the family: Transfer RNA (tRNA) molecules are approximately 80 nucleotides in length. Lineage: Eukaryota; Metazoa; Chordata; Mammalia; Rodentia; Caviidae. The record is from Rfam by way of RNAcentral.